AUCAUUUUAUAGUUCAUAAGUGUGAUGACUGGGUUUUUAUGCUCUUGUGUGUGAUGCGCCUCCCUCAAACCUUGUCAUGAUGUUGGCACAUUACCCAUGUGAUG
Macaca fascicularis (crab-eating macaque) is the source of this 104-nucleotide small nucleolar RNA. Lineage: Eukaryota; Metazoa; Chordata; Mammalia; Primates; Cercopithecidae. The record is from Ensembl.